AAAUAAUAGCGAAUUCAAGGUGCCGAUUAUGAAUAUCGGAGAAUAGGGAAGCUUAGAAAGCACGGACCCACCACUGUGAACAGGGACGAAGUCUUAAUAACCACUGAGCAUAAGCUUGGGAAGGUGAGAAUAGGAUGAACUGUUAGUCAGGAGACCUGCCUUGAUGUGAGAAAAAGG
Molecule: non-coding RNA, 177 nt
Filed under: Acetobacterium woodii
Lineage: Bacteria; Bacillati; Bacillota; Clostridia; Eubacteriales; Eubacteriaceae
Also listed under: 1 other name
Source: RNAcentral